UGUCUUUUUUUUCUGCAUGCUGUGUCAAAUGAAGGAGGAUUUGUCUUAAAAACCAAUUCAUUUUUCAAAUCAAGACAGGCCUGGUUUACUGAUUAUAGAAUCCCUACUAUUUUUAAAAAAAGGAUUGUGUUUGACUUGUAAAAAUAAAAUACAAAUAACAUCACCCAUAUGCUCAAUGUAAUGGCACAUGACUCUUUAAGUUUGAAAACUUCUACACUUGGGUUUCUGAUGUGAUUACAAUGGGUUGUAAAGUGAGUGAGAGAAACUGGUUUCCCAAGUUAGGAUGUUUAUUUACCACCUACUGGAAUCCAUGACAGUUUGGAGUAAGACAAUAAUAGGCUAGAAGGAAAUGAGCACUGUUGAUUCAUGAAUCCAUGCACUCUGCACUAAUUACAGUGCCUCAGUUUCCCUAUUUUAUAAAAUGAAGCUGUCUCUUGCCCGUCUCUCUGUAGUGUUUGGAAAGUCCAGGGAGAUAAUAGACUUUGAGUGCUUUGAAAAUACCGAAUAUAUUAUAAAUGCUAAAUAACCAUAAUAAUGGGGAGUCUUUAAUAACAGGGGUCCUGUAAUAAUACUCAUCAAGUAUAAUAACAUCACUAACCAGAGUGCGUCUCUGUCCUCUUAAUCAUUGGUUUGUCUCAUGGGAAAUUGGUGGAGGAUUGGCGCCUAGUACGGGUUGGUUUUAAUGGAUUUAACGCAGAGCCCCUCAGUGAGGCUUGCAGGGAACUCUCCAACAAGCAGGGUAGCUUUCAGGAAGACACGCCCGUGCAAUUGGGAGAGAACAGAACAGAGGCAUCUUCAGGUAACGUGAUUUUAAAAUCCAGUUCCUAGCAGGUUGGGGAAAGAAGGAAAGACCUGUGCAGUGGAGGAGCAUCGUGGGAUCUUCAAGGUGAGCAUCUUAGAAUCUGGGGUCUGGAGGCCACUUUCAUGGGAGGUGAGAGCUGCUGGUCAUUUCCAGUCAUCUCCAACUCCAGCCUGCAGCCAUGGGGUAGAUGGCUAAUGGGACUACGCGGAUCUGAUCAGCGCAAUGUCAAGAUCCAAAUAAACACCAAAUUUGUGCAGAGUGAAGCGGUAUUCUAGGAGGUAAGAAGAGGAAAGUCGCUACGACUGCAGUAAAUACAGAAGACAAAGGCCUGAACAUCUGGCAGCAUCUGGGUCCCAGAUACCCUCAAGAUUUCAUAAAGAGGAGUGCUUGUUGUUGAUAAGAGUCAAGCUGGGUCAGCCUUGCAGAUGACCAGUCACCCUCUGCAAGUUGUCUCUUUG
RNAcentral lists this long non-coding RNA (1260 nucleotides) under Papio anubis (olive baboon). RNAcentral's name for it is "lncRNA (ENSPANG00000047738.1)". The record is from RNAcentral. Lineage: Eukaryota; Metazoa; Chordata; Mammalia; Primates; Cercopithecidae.